AUCACCAUCGCUGGCCCGCUGGGCAGGCAGGCUCGAACAGGGGAAUUGCACAGCAAUGGAUGAAAUAAAGCAAAUGGCCGUGUCUUAGUUAAGCAAGGAAUCGAUCCAGUAGAUCAAGGCUACAGGUUCCAAGUUGAUCGAUUGGAACAGUCAUUCAGUUGAAAGGAUGCCAAAAAAAUUUAAUCAAGUUUGUCGAUCUUUUGAGGCUGUUUGACUAGGUGUAACUGGAGUAUCUCCAGUCCUGGAAAAUCCAUUGGUAUAUACCAUCAGUAUGUUGCUAUUUCAGUUUCUGAACGCAAUUUGAAAAGGCCCA
Lolium rigidum is the source of this 313-nucleotide long non-coding RNA. RefSeq lists it as uncharacterized. The record is from RefSeq and is a predicted model, not a curated record. The transcript has 3 exons. Lineage: Eukaryota; Viridiplantae; Streptophyta; Magnoliopsida; Poales; Poaceae.